Molecule: ribosomal RNA, 253 nt
Filed under: uncultured bacterium
Lineage: Bacteria
Description: partial 16S ribosomal RNA
Rfam family: Bacterial small subunit ribosomal RNA
Source: RNAcentral
UACGUAGGUGGCAAGCGUUGUCCGGAUUUACUGGGCGUAAAGGGCGUGCAGGCGGUUUGUUAAGUCUAGGGUGAAAGCUCCCGGCUCAACUGGGAGAGGUCCUUGGAUACUGGCAAACUUGAGGGAUGCAGAGGAAAGUGGAAUUCCCGGUGUAGUGGUGAUAUGCGUAGAUAUCGGGAGGAACACCAGUGGCGAAGGCGGCUUUCUGGGCAUUACCUGACGCUGAGGCGCGAAGGCGUGGGGAGCAAACAGG